AGAAAACAGAGAUCAGAGCACCAACUGAAGCCAUCAAACUAGUUCUUGAGCACUGGAGGUUGGAGGAUUCCCAAACCAUGGCGGCUCGCAUCUAGGAAUGUCUCCUGCUGUUGGUCGAUCUUGUGCAGCAUAAAGCAGCACAUGGGUAUUUUGGCAAAGGGGUAUCUGGAAAAGCAUAGGUUUGGGGAUUCGGCCAAUUCAGCUUCCUUAAAAAGCCUCUUUUAGGGAAUAUGUAAGCUACAGUAAGGAUACUGUAUGAAGUUAAUAACUACGCUAUACUGGCUCAGAAGACAAACUGGAGAGCCACAGUAAACUAUUGUUAGCCUGACUGCACUCUACACUGCACAAAGGAUCUUUCCUACUGUUCACUGUCUUCCUUCAAAGUUGAAUGGGUCAAAAUUAUCCAGAAGGAAGCUAACAGAACUUGGCAACUACAAUGUUUCUCUGCACGUCUUGGCUACUACUGUGAAAAAGAAAUAAAGAAUGUUGUGUAAAUGCACAAAAGAGCAAUAUGUUAACUAAGCCGUCUCAAAAGACACACAUGGUCUAUUCCCAUCUUCAACAUUUUUGGCAUAUCCCUAGUCUCUGGUGUCCAUUGUUUUAUUAUUAAACUGC
Long non-coding RNA from Hyla sarda, 615 nucleotides. RefSeq lists it as uncharacterized. The transcript is spliced from 6 exons. The record is from RefSeq and is a predicted model, not a curated record. NCBI's taxonomy places the organism in Eukaryota, Metazoa, Chordata, Amphibia, Anura, Hylidae.